UCUUGAUUUAAGAAGAAAUACUUCUUGGCGGCAAAUUUAAGAUUAUUUUUUUCCAGUGCAGAUGUCUGAAAUUUGAUGAAUUUCGUGUUUGAAUGGACCCUACCAAGUGAGCUGAACACGACCAUGACCUUGGUUCAUAGAUUGAACAAUUAUUGGAGAAGAUAUGACAAAAUAAUCUAAUCUGCAAAAAUACAUGCGUUUAAAUGGGAAAUGCCGCCAGAUGACGUCACGAGGCGGCGCAUUUUCUCACUUUUAAAUCUAUUUUUAUACUAUUUCCCAUAUCAGAAAAAAAUGAUAAAAAAUACUUCAAAAUUAGCUCUUUAGGCACUUUUAGAUGAAGCAAUAAAAUAUUUGCGUGCAAAUUCUCCAUAGUUAGGGAAGUGUUUCGGGACAGAGAAAGAACGAUAAAAGAGAGUAUAGAACCCUACCUGCUCCAUAUUCUUCGUAUUCUGUGAAUUCAUCAGACACGAAUUCUCUUUUGAGCUGCACAUCGGGCAACCGUUCAAAGCCCCGUCCAUUGUUUUUCGCCCUACAAGGCGAUCUCAGCCAAGAUUCAGUCGAUUCAUAUGGAGCGCCACAAACUUUUCAGCCUCUGAAAAUCCCAAAAACUGUUACCCAAAAGUCGGACGUCGAAUCCCUGAAGCUCUCGAUUUCAGACAUCUGCCGGUUGGCGCUUGAGUACAUCCAAAUCGGGGUUCUGUUACCUCAUCCCCCUGGUCUCUCAUUCGAUCGUCUCCUCACCUCCCUCAAGAAAUCCCUUUCCACUACCCUCACGCACUUCUCUCCCCUGGCCGGUCGCUUGGCAACGACCCCCGAUGGUCAAAUCCACAUCGCUUGCAACGAUGCAGGGGUUGAAUUCCUGGCGAUGGACGACACUGGUCUCUCUGUGGACGAUGUUUUGUGUCCGGGCGAUGUCCCAGACUGCGUCAAAGGCUUCUUCACUUUCGACGAAUUCGUCAACUACGAGGGGCAUUCGAAACCAUUGGCUGCGGUUCAGGUAAAGUGUGAAUUUUUGUAUACUUUGCAAUAAUGGCUGCUACUUUUGGGGACCCGUUCGGGCUGACAUCAGCCUGGAUCAGUCUGACUCAGGGUAGUUUAUGAAAC
RNAcentral lists this long non-coding RNA (1104 nucleotides) under Bemisia tabaci. RNAcentral describes it as "lncRNA ENSASIAIIG010331". Lineage: Eukaryota; Metazoa; Arthropoda; Insecta; Hemiptera; Aleyrodidae. The record is from RNAcentral.